AACGAACGCUGGCGGCAUGCCUAACACAUGCAAGUCGAACGAGACCUUCGGGUCUAGUGGCGCACGGGUGCGUAACGCGUGGGAAUCUGCCCUCUGGUACGGAAUAACUCAGGGGAACUUGAGCUAAUACCGUAUAAUGACUUCGGUCCAAAGAUUUAUCGCCUGAGGAUGAGCCCGCGUCGGAUUAGCUAGUUGGUGAGGUAAAGGCUCACCAAGGCGACGAUCCGUAGCUGGUCUGAGAGGAUGAUCAGCCACACUGGGACUGAGACACGGCCCAGACUCCUACGGGAGGCAGCAGUGGGGAAUAUUGGACAAUGGGCGAAAGCUUGAUCCAGCAAUGCCGCGUGAGUGAUGAAGGCCUUAGGGUUGUAAAGCUCUUUUACCCGGGAUGAUAAUGACAGUACCGGGAGAAUAAGCCCCGGCUAACUCCGUGCCAGCCGCCGCAGUAA
This 449-nucleotide ribosomal RNA is filed under the name uncultured bacterium. RNAcentral's name for it is "partial 16S ribosomal RNA". It matches the Rfam family "Bacterial small subunit ribosomal RNA", at positions 29 to 523 of the family's 1533-position model. The record is from RNAcentral.